This is a long non-coding RNA of Helianthus annuus (common sunflower), 1313 nucleotides long. RefSeq lists it as uncharacterized. NCBI's taxonomy places the organism in Eukaryota, Viridiplantae, Streptophyta, Magnoliopsida, Asterales, Asteraceae. The record is from RefSeq and is a predicted model, not a curated record. The transcript is spliced from 8 exons.
AAAAAAAAAUUAAAGCCCAAAAACUUCCUCUCAUCUCCCAAGGACCUCACCUCUCCUCUCCACCAUCUGCUCGCCGCCUGCUCAACCUUACAUGGUUCCAGCCCUAAUCGACGAACCCUAAACCCUAAUCAAACAUCACGGUCCCUAAACACAUUUGAAGAGGUGAUGAAAACCCUAACCUUCUUUUUAUGUAUCUUGUUGGAUUGUGUGUAUAUCUGGUUUUAUAUCUAUAAUAUAUAUAUGUGUAUUCAAGAUUAUUGGGGAUUUGAAAUCUUUGAAAGCAUAGUAGUGUUUGAAAUAGGUUUGUUAUUAUCCAGAUAUUAUUAUGUUGUAGAGACCCUGUAGAAGGUGCGAGGGCAGCCAUGGGUGUCAUCGUUCUCGAUCUUUAUCCCGGCCUCAGAAUCAGCCCCCUUUAUCUCGGACGCUUUGUGCUCAAGGUGCGCUUGUCCCGAAGAAGGUUGAAGGGAAGAUUUUGCUGUGCUUAAGGUGAGGCAAUAUGGGUCGGCUUGACAAGGGCAUAGUGGCUGCACGUGCUGGUGCUUCUAGCAUGAUUCUUUGCAAUGCUGAAGCCAAUAAAGAUGAAAUAAUAGUUGAUCUUCAUGUGCUGCUAGCGACACACAUCACUAUGCUGACGGGCUUUGUCUUUACGCCUACCUUAACUCUACCAUGUAACAACCAUCAUUCCAACAUGGGCUGGCCCGACCCGACCCAUUUUUUACAUGUCAUGGUGAGCUGUGAUCAAUUGCAGAAUGCAGAACCAUGAAGCAUACACUGUAAAUGUGGUUGCUAGUUUUUUAUCUUCAUACAAGGAUCACUUGGAGCCUGCUAUUGCCAAUUUGAGGAAGCUGCUACAGAGCUUGAAAGGGUAUUAGUAUAUAAUCGUUCCAGAUGAAGAAUUUUUGCAUGAUAUCAAGCAAAGGGGAAAUAUUGAGCAGGCCAAGAUUGUGAAUAUCUUUAAUAUAGUGGAAAGCAUUAAAGAGCACUUUUAUAGUGCAAUUGAUGAUUUUUCUAGGAAGACAUUGAACUUAUGGCAGACGCAAGUUUGGAAGCUUUUAGAUUUUCCAUCUCUUGGUCCAGACUGAUCCCAAGUGAUUCAAGGUGAUUCAAGAUACACAAAGUGCAAAUUCAAGACACAAUUUGAAGAUGUCGAGCAGCGGUGAAGAAUUUUACAACACGUUUUACAAUGCUUUUACUUCAGAAUCAUCCGAAAGAAGAUCCGAAACAAGAGAUUAUUCGAAAGAGAUUUCAGAUAAUAUGAAAUAUGACAAUAUGUAUGGAAACCUACAGAAACCACCGAAAUUAAUGAAAGUUGA